UACGUAGGGGCCCAGCGUUGUCCGGAUUCAUUGGGCGUAAAGCGCGCGCAGGCGGCCCGGUGUGCCGCCCGUGAAAUCCCCCGGCUCAACCGGGGGGGGUCGGGCGAGACUGUCGGGCUGGAGGCGGGUAGGGGGCAGCGGAAUUCCCGGUGUAGUGGUGGAAUGCGUAGAUAUCGGGAGAAACACCAGUGGCGAAGGCGGCUGCCUGGACCCGGCCUGACGCUGAGGCGCGAAAGCGUGGGGAGCGAUCCGG
Molecule: ribosomal RNA, 253 nt
Filed under: uncultured bacterium
Lineage: Bacteria
Description: partial 16S ribosomal RNA
Rfam family: Bacterial small subunit ribosomal RNA
Source: RNAcentral